CUUAGCUGUCAAGCUGGAUGUCACAGUUACAAGUCUCCAUCUGACUGUUGCCGUCCAUGGAGAUGUUGGUCUGGAGGUGGAGUCUUCCAGUGUGGAGAUAACAGAGAUCUCCCAUUUGAGAAGUGUGGUUCUCUCCGAAUUCCAGGAUGCUUUCU
Long non-coding RNA from Lacerta agilis (Sand lizard), 155 nucleotides. RefSeq lists it as uncharacterized. Lineage: Eukaryota; Metazoa; Chordata; Lepidosauria; Squamata; Lacertidae. The transcript is spliced from 3 exons. The record is from RefSeq and is a predicted model, not a curated record.